This 441-nucleotide ribosomal RNA is filed under the name uncultured bacterium. RNAcentral's name for it is "bacterial SSU rRNA". It matches the Rfam family "Bacterial small subunit ribosomal RNA", at positions 8 to 440 of the family's 1533-position model. The record is from RNAcentral.
AGAGUUUGAUUCUGGCUCAGGAUGAACGCUAGCGGCAGGCUUAACACAUGCAAGUCGAGGGGCAGCGAGAUCAGUGCUUGCACUGAUUGUCGGCGACCGGCGCACGGGUGCGUAACGCGUAUGCAACCUACCCAUUACAGGGGGAUAACACUGAGAAAUCGGUACUAAUACCCCAUAACAUCCAGGGAGGCAUCUUCUUGGGUUGAAAACUCCGGUGGUAAUGGAUGGGCAUGCGUUGUAUUAGUUAGUUGGUGGGGUAACGGCUCACCAAGACCACGAUACAUAGGGGGACUGAGAGGUUAACCCCCCACAUUGGUACUGAGACACGGACCAAACUCCUACGGGAGGCAGCAGUGAGGAAUAUUGGUCAAUGGACGCAAGUCUGAACCAGCCAUGCCGCGUGCAGGAAGACGGCUCUAUGAUUUGUAAACUGCUUUUGUA